UCGAAAGAAUUUGGUAAAAUUAGUACUUGAAAUUGAAACAACUACUUAAAAUUACUGUAUUGUAAGAAAAUCCACCCAUACCAUAUCAUAUCAUAACCAAUUGACAUAUCUCAUGUGAACUUGUUCAUCAAGGUGUUGAUGAAAGUUCUGGUCUAAAACAUUCAAUGAACGUUUUGAAGAAGUUAUUGUGCCAUAAGUAUCAAAAUUGAAAGAAAUGUGACAAAAUAAUUUCAAUUCACAGAAUAUUUCACUCGCAAGCUACAAUU
Molecule: long non-coding RNA, 266 nt
Filed under: Olea europaea (common olive)
Lineage: Eukaryota; Viridiplantae; Streptophyta; Magnoliopsida; Lamiales; Oleaceae
Description: long non-coding RNA (OEUR_LNC011768)
Source: RNAcentral